RNAcentral lists this ribosomal RNA (361 nucleotides) under uncultured bacterium. RNAcentral describes it as "bacterial SSU rRNA". It matches the Rfam family "Bacterial small subunit ribosomal RNA", at positions 527 to 888 of the family's 1533-position model. The record is from RNAcentral.
GUAGGGUGCGAGCGUUAAUCGGAAUUACUGGGCGUAAAGCGUGCGCAGGCGGUUCUCCAAGUCCGUUGUGAAAGCCCCGGGCUCGACCUGGGAAUGGCAGUGGAAACUAGGGGACUGGAAUCUGGCAGAGGGGGGUGGAAUGCCGCGUGUAGCAGUGAAAUGCGUAGAGAUGCGGCGGAACACCGAUGGCGAAGGCAGCCCCCUGGGCUGAGAUUGACGCUCAGGCACGAAAGCGUGGGGAGCAAACAGGAUUAGAUACCCUGGUAGUCCACGCCCUAAACGAUGGCAACUAGGUGUUGGGGAAGCGAUUUCCUGGUACCGCAGCKRACGCGUGAAGUUGCCCGCCUGGGGAGUACGGUCG